GAGUUUGAUCAUGGCUCAGAACGAACGCUCGCGGCAUGCCUAACACAUGCAAGUCGAACGAAGGCCCUAGCUUGCUAGGUGUCCUUAGUGGCGGACGGGUGAGUAACGCGUGGGAACCUGCCCUAGAGUGGGGAACAACCUUUGGAAACGAAGGCUAAUACCGCAUACGCUCUGAGGAGGAAAGGCUUCGGCCGCUCUUGGAUGGUCCCGCGUCUGAUUAGCUUGUUGGUGAGGUAAUGGCUCACCAAGGCUACGAUCGGUCGCUGGUCUGAGAGGAUGAUCAGCCACACUGGGACUGAGAUACGGCCCAGACUCCUACGGGAGGCAGCAGUGGGGAAUAUUGGACAAUGGGGGCAACCCUGAUCCAGCCAUGCCGCGUGAGUGAAGAAGGCCCUAGGGUUGUAAAGCUCUUUCAGCGAGGAAGAUAAUGACGGUACUCGCAAAAGAAGCCCCGGCUAACUCCGUGCCAGCAGCCGCGGUAAUACGGAGGGGGCUAGCGUUGUUCGGAAUUACUGGGCGUAAAGCGCGCGUAGGCGGUUUGCUAAGUUGGGCGUGAAAGCCCGGGGCUUAACCCCGGAACUGCGUUCAAAACUGGCAGACUCGAGGCCGGGAGAGGAGAGCGGAAUUCCCAGUGUAGAGGUGAAAUUCGUAGAUAUGGGAAGAACACCAGUGGCGAACGCGGCUCUCUGGCCCGGUUCUGACGCUGAGGCGCGAAAGCGUGGGGAGCGAACAGGAUUAGAUACCCUGGUAGUCCACGCCGUAAACGAUGAGUGCUAGACGUCGGGGGGGCUCGCCCUUCGGUGUCGCAGCUAACGCAUUAAGCACUCCGCCUGGGGAGUACGGCCGCAAGGCUAAAACUCAAAGGAAUUGACGGGGGCCCGCACAAGCGGUGGAGCAUGUGGUUUAAUUCGACGCAACGCGAAGAACCUUACCAGCUUUUGACAUGCUAGUCGCGGAUUUCAGAGAUGAGAUCCUUCAGCUCGGCUGGACCUAGUACAGGUGCUGCAUGGCUGUCGUCAGCUCGUGUCGUGAGAUGUUGGGUUAAGUCCCGCAACGAGCGCAACCCUCAUCUUCAGUUGCCAUCGGUUAGGCCGGGCACUCUGAAGAAACUGCCGGUGAUAAGCCGGAGGAAGGUGGGGAUGACGUCAAGUCCUCAUGGCCCUUACGGGCUGGGCUACACACGUGCUACAAUGGCGGUGACAGUGGGCUGCAAAGGCGCAAGCCGGAGCUAAUCCCCAAAAACCGUCUCAGUUCGGAUUGUUCUCUGCAACUCGAGAGCAUGAAGUUGGAAUCGCUAGUAAUCGCGGAUCAGCAUGCCGCGGUGAAUACGUUCCCGGGCCUUGUACACACCGCCCGUCACACCAUGGGAGUUGGUUUUACCCGAAGCCGGUGCGCUAACCGUAAGGAGGCAGCCGACCACGGUAAGGUCAGCGACAGGGGUGAAGUCGUAACAAGGUAACC
Molecule: ribosomal RNA, 1461 nt
Filed under: uncultured bacterium
Lineage: Bacteria
Description: bacterial SSU rRNA
Rfam family: Bacterial small subunit ribosomal RNA
Source: RNAcentral